GCCAGGCACGCUGACCCAUGCCUGUAAUCCCAGUGGCUUGAGAGGCUGAGGCAGGAGGAUCAUGAGUUCAAGGCCAGCCUCAGCAAUUCAGCAAGGCCCUGAGCAACUCAACAAGACCCUGUCUCAA
RNAcentral lists this small RNA (127 nucleotides) under Marmota monax (woodchuck). Lineage: Eukaryota; Metazoa; Chordata; Mammalia; Rodentia; Sciuridae. The record is from RNAcentral.